RNAcentral lists this ribosomal RNA (457 nucleotides) under Gemella haemolysans. RNAcentral's name for it is "bacterial SSU rRNA". It matches the Rfam family "Bacterial small subunit ribosomal RNA", at positions 28 to 472 of the family's 1533-position model. Lineage: Bacteria; Bacillati; Bacillota; Bacilli; Caryophanales; Gemellaceae. The record is from RNAcentral.
GACGAACGCUGGCGGCGUGCCUAAUACAUGCAAGUCGAGCGAAGUUUUUCUGGUGCUUGCACUAGAAAAACUUAGCGGCGAACGGGUGAGUAACACGUAAAGAACCUGCCUUAUAGACUGGGACAACUAUUGGAAACGAUAGCUAAUACCGGAUAACAGCAUUAACUGCAUGGUUGAUGUUUAAAAGUUGGUUUUGCUAACACUAUGAGAUGGCUUUGCGGUGCAUUAGCUAGUUGGUGGGGUAAAGGCCUACCAAGGCGACGAUGCAUAGCCGACCUGAGAGGGUGAUCGGCCACACUGGGACUGAGACACGGCCCAGACUCCUACGGGAGGCAGCAGUAGGGAAUCUUCCGCAAUGGGCGAAAGCCUGACGGAGCAACGCCGCGUGAGUGAAGAAGGAUUUCGGUUCGUAAAGCUCUGUUGUUAGGGAAGAAUGAUUGUGUAGUAACUAUACACA